Molecule: long non-coding RNA, 1477 nt
Organism: Cyanistes caeruleus (blue tit)
Lineage: Eukaryota; Metazoa; Chordata; Aves; Passeriformes; Paridae
Source: RefSeq, a predicted model, not a curated record
CGUGUGAGGGGCCCGGCCUGUGAGGGGCCCGGCCUGUGAGGGGCCCGGCCGUGUGAGGGGCCCGGCCUGUGAGGGGCCCCGCGCACAGCAGCGACAGCUUUGGGGCUACUAAAAGAUGAAUUAAAACCUUAGGAAAAGCCCUCUCUACUCCUAGAGAAGCUUCUUGGAGUCAGAGAACAGAAGUGGAACCAGCUGUAAGAGCCCUACCACUUACUCCUCCCCAAAGUCUACUGCCUGGAAUAGAGUGAGGAAGCUGGGCAUGCACAAGUUUGGAGGUGACACAUCCAGGCCUGCUGACCCCAACUGACACAAGGAUUAUUCCAUACUUUAUGACGUCACACUCAGUAUAUAAAGAAGGGGUAAGAAAGAGGAAGUGGGGGGAUGUUUGGAGUGAUGGCCUAGGUCUUCAGAAGUAACUGUCAGACGUGCUGGAGCCCUGCUAUCCUGGAGGUGGCUGGACACCUGACUGCUCAUGGAAGGUAGCAAAUGAAUUCCUUUGCUUUUGUAUGUGGCUUUUGCUUCACCUAUUAAACUGUCUUUAUCUCAACAUACAAGUCUUUUCACUUUUACCCUUCUGAUUCUAUCACAAGUAGAUAUCCCACCUCACUGGUGGGAGAGUGAGGGAGUGGCUGUGUGAGGCUUAGUUGUCCGCUGGGCUAAAACCACAACAGUCUUCUUGCACUUUCCAUUCGCUAUUCCCUAUUCUCACAGAUUCAGUGAGGAUUACAGACCAGAUGUACUCUGAAGAACAAAGUUCCUGUCUUUGUCCCCAUCCUUGAUCUCCAGGUUUUUGGAACAGUGGAGAACAGUGUGUUUUUCUUCUAGACAAAAUUAUAUAUGCCUGAAUUUCCUUUCCCUUAAGCCAGGCACUCCUGAUCUCCCAGUAUAGAUAGACAGAGCCUUAAAAACUUUAUGACAGUAACAAGAGAGAUUGGUCCCUGGCCUCCUUUAUACUCAAGCUGUUGCUGGAUCAUUACCCAAAUAAAUCACUGUAAAUUCUCUUAGGAUUAACAGAGCUUAGAUGUAAAGAAGAAUUUUGUGUCCCACUUUCAUACCAGUGGACAGUACUAUGGUAUAGUUCUCCUUUGCCACUUUUUUGUCAAGAUGCUUUUUUGCGAGAGGGUUUUUUAUUUUUUAUUUUUUUUUUCUCUUUAAAGAAUGAGUAAGAGGUUGACAUAAGGUGACAUUGCAGUGUCAAGUAUUUUAAAAUAUGAAUUCACUUCACUUGAAAGACUUAAGAGCCGUAAUUAAUAUCCUCUCUCUCUCUCUUCCUGCCCCCCCCAAAAAGAGAUAUCUUCCAGUCGAUGUAGUGGGCAGUAAGGUCUGGUAUUUGUUUAUUGUCAGGGGUUUUUCUGUGUAAAUCGUUUCUUUUCUUAUAUAUUUUGUUACCAAUAUUGUUGCUAUUACUGUUUUAUUUUGCUAAUACUGUUUGUUUGCUAAUCUCCUUGCUGUUUCCAGUAAAUUGUUCCUAUUUCAA